Molecule: ribosomal RNA, 1443 nt
Filed under: uncultured organism
Description: SSU rRNA
Rfam family: Bacterial small subunit ribosomal RNA
Source: RNAcentral
CAGGCUUAACACAUGCAAGUCGAGGGGCAGCAUGGUCUUAGCUUGCUAAGGCCGAUGGCGACCGGCGCACGGGUGAGUAACACGUAUCCAACCUGCCGUCUACUCUUGGACAGCCUUCUGAAAGGAAGAUUAAUACAAGAUGGCAUCAUGAGUCCGCAUGUUCACAUGAUUAAAGGUAUUCCGGUAGACGAUGGGGAUGCGUUCCAUUAGAUAGUAGGCGGGGUAACGGCCCACCUAGUCUUCGAUGGAUAGGGGUUCUGAGAGGAAGGUCCCCCACAUUGGAACUGAGACACGGUCCAAACUCCUACGGGAGGCAGCAGUGAGGAAUAUUGGUCAAUGGGCGAGAGCCUGAACCAGCCAAGUAGCGUGAAGGAUGACUGCCCUAUGGGUUGUAAACUUCUUUUAUAAAGGAAUAAAGUCGGGUAUGGAUACCCGUUUGCAUGUACUUUAUGAAUAAGGAUCGGCUAACUCCGUGCCAGCAGCCGCGGUAAUACGGAGGAUCCGAGCGUUAUCCGGAUUUAUUGGGUUUAAAGGGAGCGUAGAUGGAUGUUUAAGUCAGUUGUGAAAGUUUGCGGCUCAACCGUAAAAUUGCAGUUGAUACUGGAUAUCUUGAGUGCAGUUGAGGCAGGCGGAAUUCGUGGUGUAGCGGUGAAAUGCUUAGAUAUCACGAAGAACUCCGAUUGCGAAGGCAGCCUGCUAAGCUGCAACUGACAUUGAGGCUCGAAAGUGUGGGUAUCAAACAGGAUUAGAUACCCUGGUAGUCCACACGGUAAACGAUGAAUACUCGCUGUUUGCGAUAUACUGCAAGCGGCCAAGCGAAAGCGUUAAGUAUUCCACCUGGGGAGUACGCCGGCAACGGUGAAACUCAAAGGAAUUGACGGGGGCCCGCACAAGCGGAGGAACAUGUGGUUUAAUUCGAUGAUACGCGAGGAACCUUACCCGGGCUUAAAUUGCAGAUGAAUUACGGUGAAAGCCGUAAGCCGCAAGGCAUCUGUGAAGGUGCUGCAUGGUUGUCGUCAGCUCGUGCCGUGAGGUGUCGGCUUAAGUGUCAUAACGAGCGCAACCCUUGUUGUCAGUUACUAACAGGUUCCGCUGAGGACUCUGACAAGACUGCCAUCGUAAGAUGUGAGGAAGGUGGGGAUGACGUCAAAUCAGCACGGCCCUUACGUCCGGGGCUACACACGUGUUACAAUGGGGGGUACAGAGGGCCGCUACCACGCGAGUGGAUGCCAAUCCCCAAAACCUCUCUCAGUUCGGACUGGAGUCUGCAACCCGACUCCACGAAGCUGGAUUCGCUAGUAAUCGCGCAUCAGCCACGGCGCGGUGAAUACGUUCCCGGGCCUUGUACACACCGCCCGUCAAGCCAUGGGAGCCGGGGGUACCUGAAGUGCGUAACCGCGAGGAGCGCCCUAGGGUAAAACUGGUGACUGGGGCUAAGUCAUA